AAAUACACUAACAAUUCCGCAUGAAAUACACAAAAGGAAUUACACUGUAAAUACUGCUUAAAUAACAGUACGAAUUCCACUGAGGAAGUACUAAAAUUACACUAACAGAUACACUGAUGAAUUACAGAGUAAAUUCCACUUUAAAAUGCAUUGUAAUCCACUAAGAAUUACAGUGUAAAAUAACCUAAAAGUACACCGAAAUUGAACUAAGAUUUACAGUGUAAAUCAUAUCAAAGCUGCAAUAUCGACAAAGAACUACACCGUAAAACCAACCAAAAUUACAUUGUAAACUUAGAGAAGAAUUACAGUGUAAGUCCAGAUAGGAACUACAGUGCAAAUCCACUUAUAAAAACACUGUAAAACCAGUAAUAAAUACACUGUAAUUUUAUCAGCUUUACAGUGUAAAAUUCACUAAACAAAGUUAACUACACUGACAAAAUGCACUGGUACAAGUACAACCACAUAUAGGAGGACGAACAUGGAGAAGCGCCACCAGUGAGGGCGAUUCCUCCAAGAUCUGGGAGACAAACAUCAACAACAUGGCUGGAGAAGUAGGAAAAACACAAGGAAAACAUCCCUCUCCCCCCUCCUAUGCAUUCAUCACCUCCUAUCGUCUCUCUCCUGCCUGAAGAAAUCUGGAAGAAAGAACAGAUGGAAAAGAGAACAUAAGCACACAAAAGAAGGAACCAGCACAAAUACUAGGAACAACUAGGAUAUGGUCACAUGUACAACUAGUCUAUAAUCACAAGACCACUAUAUACUAAAAACUAGAUGCCCAGGUCAUAGGUUUCUGAAUUUGCAAAAAAGAACAUACUACAAGGGACAAAAACCCGCUCAAGAUCACUAGGCUAGGAAUUCCAUUUUGGGGACAAAAACACACUACUAGGCUAGCAAUUCCAUUUAGGUAAAACUAGUUGAAAAUAUACAAGGUUGAGGAUUACUGCAGUUGAGAGAAUAUAUGACUAUUUCCACAAACUAUGGAAACUAAAAAACUAAACACUCUUAAGAAACUUUGAUCUAACAGUUUGGACACUUCCUCCCUGUUCAUAAAUAGUUGUGAUUGAAUGACUGGAUAUAAGUAACUUUGGAAGUGUAAACUGCUAUGAACUGAUACUUGUUAACACUGAAUAUUGAUUAGUAUUAAGAUAAACACUGAAAAUAGAAAUUAACAGAAAAAUGAGUAACCCGAUCAGGCUAAAAGCACUGACACUAGAAGGCACUUACGCUAGUAGCAAGAAACAAAAAGAAUCUAUAAAAGUGAUAAUAAAUAGCAGUUUCUUCAGGUCACACAAGUAUAUGUCAGAUGAAGAAAAAUGCUCAAUCUAGAAUGAACAUGGCAUAAAAAUACGACAAAUACAACAACACACUUACGUGGGACACAUAGAAAUCAUAUAAGCUUUUUCACACUCAGGGUUAUCCAUUUCACCAUCCUGCAUAAAUACAAGAGAACAUAAAGAGAAUAAACUACUGGGACCAAAUAAGCUAAGCCACAAAAACAAUAUACAAAAGGGAAAAAAGAGAACACAAGAAAAAAAGAGAAGGACCUCGGAAACUUGGAAAGAAUCGUCCUCAGCAAAAUCAUUGGGCACAAAAGGAUCACCAUCUGAAUCACCUUGCUCUUCGGAACAAGCAGAAUGAAUACCCUUACCAAAACACUUCCCGAGUCUACCCAUAGAUUAAACAAUUCCCUAAUAUAUAAAUCACAUAGAAUAAAAAAAUACUGAGAAAUAUGGCAUAAAGGAUAAACAUUAUACAAAAAAUACAAAACGAAAAUGCUUACUACAUACCCAUUACCAGAUACAUAAAUGGGUUAGGCAAAGACAAUAUAACAAAAAGAACACAUGAACUAAAUCAAAAAAUACAAAUACUUCCAUAAAAGUGUAAUGUGCUAAAAUGCUCCCUCCGUAAUCUAAUAUAAGAGCGUUUAGAUCACUACUUGAGUGAUCUAAACGCUCUUAUAUUUCUUUACCGGGGGAGUAUAAAAUAGCUAAUUACAAGGGUAUAAAAUUAAUCACAUCAACUGAGCUAAAAGGGGGUAAAAUGAACAGUACAAGAAAUAUUCCAAUCAAUACAUCAUCACUGGAUUACACACAAAUAAGAUGACCCGACAAAAUAAAUUACACAAAUAAAACUGGGAAAAAAGAACUAACCAGACAUUAUCAUGCAACUAUCCAUAAAACACCCUGCAAAAAUACCAAAAACUAAGAUUAGCAUCAAGCAUGACAACAACAGAAACCUAAGAAAAGAUUUAAAAUGAACUAAAAGCAAUCAACAGUUGCAAGAGAAGUCCUACACUUACAAUGCAACCCAAUAUGAUAACCAGUGUAAAAAUCACUGAUAAAAUAAGUAAAUACAGUACAAUGCACAAAGAUUUACAUAGUAAAAAAAUUAAGAAUUACAGUGUGAAUCCACUGAGAAUUACACUGUAAAAUUCAAAAUAAAGAAUUACAGUGUAAAUCCAUUGAGAGUUACACUGUAAAAUCCACUAACAUACAUUGGCAAAUGCACCAAAAAUUACAAUGCAAAACCAUUGAGGAAUUACACUGUAAAAUCAACUAAAGUAUUACAUUACAAGAGCACUACGAAUUACAGUGAAGAUUCACUAAAAAAUAGAAUUACAGUGAAAAAAAUGUAAAUCCAAUUAGAAUUACAGUGUAUCGACUAAGAAAGUUCACUGUAAUUCCACUAAGGAUUACUGUAUAAAUCCACUGAGAAUUACAGUGUAGAUCCGCUGAGAAUUUACACUGUAAUUCCACUAAGGAUUACACUGUAAGAAAUCAAUAAAAUACACUAAGAAUUACAUUGUAAAUCCAAUUAGAGUUACAGUGUAAAAUCCAGUAACAAAAUGUAAUUCUUGAAAUUUCUGAAUUGGAAUUCAGGAAUGUACAUGCACAGAUUGAAUGGAAUUUCCUGAAACCAAAAUGACUUGGCAUGAGACUAACUGAAUGAAAUUGAACGGAGCAGCAUAUAUACACAUUUACAAAACUACUUCAUUGUAAACAAUGAAAAUGGACUGAAAUUAAAGUGUAUUAUAUACUUUAGUUGUCAGGGUGGUGGUUGUGAUUAUUAGUAGUAGCCUGGCAGUGGCAGUGGCAGUAGACUAGUUUGGUUGGUAGGUAGUUGAGGGCGAGGAAACAAAUGAGGAUCCCAUCCAUCCAUCCGUACAAGCAAAGCAAGGGUUCUGAACUAAAAGAAACAUCAUCACAUCCGACAGCGACAUGGACAUGGAUGAAAUUAGGAUCCCCGCAUGUCCAGGCGCAUGACAACUAGCUGAAUUCAACCAGACAAUGUAGCUCACAUGAUAGACGAGAUUCAACACAGCAACGGGAAAUUACCACACACAACGGACGAAAGGGGAAUAGAUCUGACCGUGAAAUCCUACACACAGCUAACAACAACCCCUAGCGAAUGGGGGAUAGAUCAGGUCAUAAUCGACGAACAUACAUCACAGGACUGCCGGCGGGGGAAAUGGAGGCCGGGGUUGGGUACGGUGGCCGAGAUAUGCUGCCCCUCCGACGCGGACAUCAGAGAAGCCGGAGGGGCUUGGGCGGUCGGAGGGAGAGCGCUGGACGCCGGGGCACCCUAGCGAAUCGAGGGACAGGGGAGCUCCAAAUCUCCAUGGAUCUCUCUCUCUCCUCUGUUUUUUUUGAAAGCAACAUGGCUUUAUUACUCAACGUGCGGGCAAAUCACCCAACACACAGGCGCCCACUUGGCCUGGUACAUCCGUAUCCCACUGCAUACAGUGGGCUGAUUCACAUAAACGACCAAGACUAGCAAGUUCAUGAGCGACAGAGUUCGCGCUACAACGACAAACAAAGAUGUUAAAAUGAGAAAACCAAAGCUUUAACUGGUAUUUCAUGUCUUCAAUCACCACUGUGUAGGCCGAAGAAUCCACCCUACGCAGGUCCAACGCCUCCUCCAGUAGUUGCGAGUCAGUCUCAAACUCCACACGAAUCAUACCAAGUUCUGCUGCCAAGUUGAUCGCAUGUGACAUAGCUGCAGCUUCAGCAGCGAAAGCAUCACAUAUGUUGUCAGUCCAUCCCGCCCGAGCACAGAUCAAGUUUCCUUGUUUUGUUCUUGCCGCAACUCCCCAGCCUGCAUGGUUCUGCCCGGGCAUAAAAGAACCAUCGACAUUAAUCUUGUAUUCCAUGUCACUUGGCGGUCGCCACCUCUCCGGGUUGUUCUUGACAGGGGGAUUUAGAAAGAUGUGCACAUACUCAAUCACAUUGCUUCUUGUUCGCCUCGCUACUUUUGAUGGCGCUAGAGGCAUCUCACCCUCUCUAAGCUUAUUCCUGUUUGACCACCAAAGCCACCAGAAAGUGAGUACGUGGAGCCUCUUUUUCUCAUCUAGACCCCAUACUCUAUCAUCGCAUGCACAGACGUGAUUACUUCCAGCUCCAUGCGCUCUUUCUCCAAGCCUAAGUCCCUCCACACUUCCUUUAUUGUCUUGCAUUUGAUGAAGAGAUGCGCCCCGUCCUCGUCAGCCCUUCCGCAGAAAAGACAUUUUGUAUCCGCAAUACAGAUCCCUUUGCGAGCUACAUUAGUGCGGAGAGCUAGGGAGUCGUGCUUCAGCCUCCACGCGAACAUCUGAAUGUUUUUUGGGCACGGUAAUCUCCACAGGCGCUUCCAUGAAUCAUCCUUAACCGAGUUCAGAUUACUAGGAUUUUCCUCGCUGCCACCCACACCGGCAUUAUGCAUAUGAAGCUCAAGCUGACGCUGAAGCUUGUAAGCGCUUUUAACGGAGUGGGUGCCUUUGGAAUCAUAAUGCCAUGCAAUGAAAUCCCGAACUCCCUCCCGUAGCGGAAUUUGGAGAAUAUGUUUGAUGUCAUCCGCCCAGAAGGUGUCUCUCACCAAUUGCUCGUCCCACUGACCAGAUAACGGAUCGAUGAGAUCAGAUACACGCUGUAGGAGGUUCUGUCCCUUGGGUGUCAGGACACGCCGUAACCAGGGCCGUGGAAUCCAGGGAUGGGACCAAAUAUUCACUUGGGUGCCAUCUCCAAUUCUCCAAAUGUACCCCUCCCUGAAAAGAUGAAGACCAUGUAGGAGGCUGCACCAUGAAUAGGAGAUGCCGUCCCUAGGAGCCGCUUCAAGAAUCUGUCCGUUGGGGAAAUAACGCGCUUUCAGCGUUUGGGCACAGAGGGAUUCAGGAUGCUGAAUCAGUCGCCAAAUCUGCCUGGAUAGAAGAGCCAAGUUGAAGUCAUGCAUGUCACGGAACCCUAAACCCCCUUGUGCUUUGGGCUUAAUGAGAGUUUUCCAUCCGAUCCAGUGGGUGCAAUGGGAUUUAUCUUGUUGGCUCCACCAAUAGUCUCCUACCAAUGAACUUAGUUCAUCACAGAAGGACUUUGUUAGGUAAAAGCAAGACAUUGCAAAUGUAGGGAUGGCCUGAGCGACUGUUGUGACCAAAGUUUCCUUGCCCGCCUUCGCUAUGAGCCUUUCCUUCCAUCCAUAAACUCUCCCAGCCAUUGCGCCUUUGACAAAAGCAAAGGCCUUCCUCCUAGAUUUGCCCACAUGAACAGGCAACCCCAAGUACUUUUCGUUCCAAGUCUCGCUCUGGAUUUGUAGAGCGUCCUUGACACUCGUUUUUACCGUAUCACUUGUAUUGGGACUAAACAUGACUGCAGACUUCUCCAGAUUGAUACAUUGCCCCGAGCACUCCUCAUAAAGGUCCAGUAUCCUACGCAGCUCUUGUGCCUCUGUUUGUUGCGCUUUCAACAGAAGGACAGAAUCAUCGGCGAAGAGUAGGUGCGACACCACCGGUGCCUGAGGACAAAUCCUAACACCAGUGAUUGUACCGGUCUCCUCCGCAUCGUGUAACAGUGCUGACAAACCCUCUGCACAAAUGAUAAAAAGAUACGGCGAGGCAGGGUCCUCUUGCCUGAGUCCUCGGGAGGGCGAGAACUGCUCAGAUAAAACACCGUUAACCUUGAUCUGGUACCGAACCGAGCUAACACAGUGCAUGACUAAGUCGAUCCAGCGAGUACCGAAGCCCAGCUUUGUCAGCAUCUCUCUCAGGAAUCCCCACUCGACCCUGUCGUAAGCUUUGCUCAUGUCCGCUUUCACCGCUGCGAUGCCCUCCUUGCCUCUCUUCUUGUUCAGUAGGUAGUGUGACACCUCAUAAGCCACUAACACAUUGUCGGUAAUCAUACGACCAGGAACAAAAGCACUUUGAUUCAGAGAAAUGAUGUCAGGAAGCACAAUUUUGAGUCGGUUGGCGAUAACCUUCGAGACUAAUUUGUAGACCACGUUGCAAAGGCUUAUCGGGCGAAGAUCCUUGAUCCUAUGGGUAUUCUUGACCUUCGGAAUGAGAACCACGACCGUGUCAUUCCACCCGGUCGGCAUAGCUCCACCAUUUAUCACCGCAAGAACCUCAUCCACCACUUUGUCCCCCAUAAAAUGCCAAUGUUUCUUAUAAACGAUCGAGGGCAUCCCAUCAGGGCCCGGGGCCUUCAAAUCACCAAUGUGGUCUAACGCCGCCUUAACUUCCUCCCUAGUGACAUCCGCUUCCAGAAUUGCUCGCAUUGCAGGAGUCACACGGGGUUUAACCUUGUCAAUGAGUUCCGGCAGGUGAUUAGCCCCCGUAGAAGUAAACAGGUCCUGAAAAUAAGAGUAAACAUAAUUAGUUAACUCCUCCCCUUCCUUCACCUCAGAUCCAUCCUCCCUUCUCAGCUUCUUAAUCCGGUUGGCUUUCUUCUUCGCAGAUGCAACGGCCAUAAAAUAUUUUGUGCUUUUAUUGCCAUCCCGGAGCCAUGUAACAUGAGAAUGUUGCUUCGCUUUGGUGUUCUUCUUUAUCUCCAACUCCUCUACAAGACACCUCAGACGCGCUUCCUCCCUGACUUUUGCUUCUGAAACAGGCACCCGCAUGCAUGCCUCCAGCUCCCUCCGGGCUCUCCUUAGUCUCCCCUCUAAUUCUCCCACCACCUCCCUACUCCACCUUUUCAUCCUCCCAGCCACAUUGAUCAUCACAGAAGCAACAUCAUCCCUCUCCUUCAGGCAGCCUUCCUCCCACGCUCCUUGGAUCUCAGCACCACACCCCUCUUCCUGCAACCACCAUGCCUCGAAUCUGAACCCCCGAUCGCCUCCGCUCGCCAUACUGGGCACACCUUGUGUGUUAACGAUUAUCGGUUUGUGGUCUGAGUGGCGAGGAGCUCCGUUGAUCACACUGAAUUCCGGGAACCAUUCGCACCAUUUUGCAUUGGCCGUGGCUCUGUCCAGGCGUUCACAAAUGUACGUAUCCACCUCCUUGCUGUGAUUUCUCCAAGUGUAUUUGUCUCCUUCAUAUCCAAUGUCGCAUAAAUCACACGCCUCCAAAGCUGCCAGAAAGUUGUCCAUAAACCUUUGAGGGCGGACAUCACCCCCCAUCUUUUCGUCCCCUGUUAGGAUCUCAUUAUAGUCUCCAAGGCAUAACCAAGGAUGACCAUUUUGGUGCUGUUGCCCAAGGAUGCGCAUCAUCUUCCAAGUCUCCACCUUGCGCUCCAGCUCAGAUUCACCGUACACCCCCGUCAGUCUCCAAAUCCUCCCAUCCUCCUCCGUUACAUCCACAUCCACAUGUCGCCUCCCAUACGAUCUUAACGAGAUACUUAAUCCUCUCCUCCAAAAAAGCGCUACACCUCUACUUCGACCCACAGCAUUCCAAACCACCAUAUUUGCUAACCCCAACGACCAUCGAAACUUUUCAAGAUCCUUCUCUGUUAAUUUCGUCUCCGCCAAAAACAACACGUCAGGCUCCUCCGUCCUCCCUAGCUCAAGGAGGCUACGAACUGCCAGGCCGUUCCCGAGGCCCCGGCAGUUCCAACCGAUCAGUUUCAUUGAUCCCGGCGGGGCUGCUCCGGCAGCCCGACCGAUAUCUUAUCAUUGACGUUUCCACCUUGUGCAUGGGACACUGGCACAUCCUCUCCUACCUUCUCUUCCAACUUACCCUUCUUUCCCAACUUCUCCACUUCAUCUUCUUCUUUAGUCCUCCCCCUCUUCCCUCCCACACCCGUGGCCUCCACAUGUUCACUUGCCUCCAUGGUCCUCUCCCUCCCUUUCUUUCUGUACUUCCUCCCUCCUGCGCCCUUAUCUUUUUCUCCACUGCCACCUGAUGCAACCCUCCUUUCUACCUUGUUCGUUGGGACCAUGGUUUCUGUGUGUGCCUUGUUUGGUACCGCAUUGACCACUCCAUCCUGGCCAACAGGGAUAAUCUGCAGAUGCUGUUCCGCACUUACACCCAGUUCCAGCUUCUUCGGUUUGCCCUGGCCUCUAUGUUUAUUAUCAUUUUUGACAGGCCUAGUGAUCUCCUCCUCCUUCCCUGUCCUACCUGAGCCACCACCGCUGGAAUCACUCUUCCUCCAUGAUAGACUCUCGUUUCCACUCCCUGAUCUCCCUUCUGAUCGGCCAAAACCAAAACUGCGUGUCCCACUUGAACUUCUGCCUCCAGACCUCCAUGCUUUCUCCUCCCCCCACCCUCUGCGUUGACCUAAGUCCGCCCGUAGCCAUCUUCCAAACUGUGGACUUUCUCCCUUCACAGCUUUCUUAUCGCAGUCUUUCUCCACAUGGCCGAUGAUCCCGCAUGAGUAGCAGAAAUCAGGAAGAAAUUCAUAUUCCAGCCUACACCAAUCUCUAUCCUCUUCCUCUUCCCCACUCUCCAUCGCAGCCCCCCCUUUUGUAACGCCCUCGAUGCGGCUAUAUCUCCUACGUGUCAAGGCACGACUUAGAGGCAUAACCACAUUGAAAGCAAUGUCGCAAGUUAGGCAAUCUUCAAAACAUCCCAUGUAAUAUAUAGAUAAUAAAAGGGGAGAAUACAUAGUUGGCUUACACUCGCCACGUCAAUCAAAGUACAUAAAUAGCAUUACAUCAACCAAACACUCAUGGCCUGACUACGGCGCCCAAAUAAAAGACCAACCCAACAUGCGACACGGUCUAGAUCGCCCCAACUAGGCACCACUACUGAUCAUCAGGGAAAGACACAUAGUAACGGCGUGAGUCCUCGUCGGACUCCCACUUGAGCUCAAGCACAUCAUCUGGAACGGAGUCAUCAGGCCUUGCAUCUGGUUUGGAAGUAAUCUGUGAGCCACAGGGACUCAACAAUCUCGCACCCUCGCGAUCAAGACUAUUUAAGCUUAUAGGUAAGGCAAGGUAAAUAUGUGGAGCUGCAGCAAGCGACUAGCAUAUAUGGUGGCUAACCUGUUCGCAAAAGAGAGCGCGAAGAGAAGGCAAAGCGCGAACGAAUAACUAGAGAAUAACCUGCGGCAAGCAUUACUCCAACACCGUGUUCACUUCCCGGACUCCGCCGAGAAGAGUCCAUCAUAGUAACCCACACAGUUGAUUCAUUUUAAUUAAGUUAAGGUUCAAGUUAUCUACAACCGGACAUUAACAAAUUCCCAUCUGCCCAUAACCGCGGGCACGGCUUUCGAAAGUUCAAAACCCUGCAGGGGAGUCCCAACUUAGCCCAUGACAAGCUCUCACGGUCAACGAAGGAAUAGACCUUCUCCCGAGACAUUCCGAUCAGACUCGGUAUCCCGGUUCUAUAAGACACUUCGACAAGUUAAAACAAAUCCAGCAAUACCACCCGAAUGUGCCGACAAAUCCCGAUAGGAGCUGCACAUAUCUCGUUCUCAGGGCACACUCAGAUAAGCUCUCCAUACAAUUAAAACCAAACCUCGAGUUUCCCCGAGGGGGCACUGCACAGGACUCUAGUUCGGACCAACACUCAGAGAAGCACUGGCCCGGGGGGGGGGGUUAAAUAAGAUGACCCUCGGGCUCCGAAAACCCAAGGGAAAAAGAGGCUAGGUGGCAAAUGGUAAAACUAAGGUUGGGCAUUGCUGGAAAAGCUUUAAUCAAGGCGAACUAUCAAGGGGUUCCCAUUAUCACCCAACCGCGUAAGGAAUGCAAAUUUCGGGAACAUAAUACCGAUAUGACGGAAACUAGGGCGGCAAGAGUGGAACAAAACACUAGGCGAGAGGCCGAGCCUUCCACCCUUUACCAAGUAUAUAGAUGCAUUAAGAUAACAAGGCAAUAUAAUGAUAUCCCAACAAGUAAAUAAUGUUCCAACAAGGAACGGUCUCCAAUCUUCACCUGCAACUAGCAACGCUAUAAGAGGGGCUGAGCAAAGCGGUAACAUAGCCAAUCAACGGUUUGCUAGGACAUGGUGGGUUAGAGGUUUGACAUGGCAAUUUGGGAGGCAUGAUAAGCAAGUGGUAGGCAUUGUAGCAUAGGCAUAGCAAAAGAGCGAGCAUCUAGCAAAGCAAAGAUAGUAGUGAUUUCGAGGGUAUGAUCAUCUUGCCUGCACAGUUGUCAGAGUUGACUGGAUCCUCGAAAUCAAACUCAACGGGCUCCUCGUUAGCAAACUCGUCUCCCGGCUCUACCCAAACAAGACAAACAAGCAAACGGAACAAAAUCAACCACGUGCAAACUCAAACAACAUGAUGCAAACAUAAUAUGCUAUGCGGGAUGCGACAUGUGAUGCAUAUGCAAGAUUUGACAAGGAAUGAAUGAACCUGGCCUCAACUUGGAAUUCCAAGUGUGCCACUGGAAAGGUAAGAUGAAAUCGCUUGAAAACGAUAUAAAGAAUGCCGAAAUCGGAGUCACGGUUUGGAAAUGGCAAGCAAUUCAAAUAUGGCACCGGUCUGCGAUAUACAGCAAGUAGACACCUAAAUGCAACAAGAUGAACAUGCUACAACACCCAAACAUGACAACAAAAUACACGGCAGGGAUCCAUUCAUGAUGCUUAACAAAAGAUGAACACUGAGCUAUGGCCAAUUCAUCCAUUAAUAGGUUCAAACAAGCAUGGCAAAAAUGCAUUUGAUAAACAGAUUUCAGACUUAGUGAAAUUAACACUUGUCUGGAAUUUCAGAUCAGGUAGCACACUUUGGACCAUGAAAACUAUAUGCUACAGGACCUGAACAUGAAAAGUAAAGCAUGGCAUGGAGCUACUCAACGAACUUAACAAAAGUCCCUUAGUGACCUUGAGCCAAAAGGGAUCCUAAAAUACAUUUGCAAGCAUGUGAACAUGGCAAAAACAUAAUCAGAUCAUAGACUUAGUGAAAAACUGGAGCAUGCAAAUCAGAUAUCAAGUAGGCAUGUUUAUGAGCUCGAUGCACUCACUACAGAGCAAGUCAUGACAAUCUAAGCAUACACCCAUCAAGAAUACACAUUAUACAAGCUAGACAUGGCAAGAACAAUAACAUAGCAUGCACGGAUCAACUACAACAUCCUCGGCAAAAUCGCUAACAAGUAGACAAUCUGCCCAGAUUCACGAAAUAGCAAAAGUAGAGCUCGAUUGACUCAAGCUAGGGUGCUCCAUAAUUGCAAACAGAGACAUGGAUGGAUAGAGCACUACAAGAUUAACAAAUCACCCUUACCGAUCAUCCUCAAAAGAGGCACGGAUCACUAGAAAACAAUAUGAACAUGUGGCAUAAUGAAAUAAACAGAUCAAGGACUUAGUGGGAUUGCUAAGUCCCUGAAAUCAGCAUUAACGAAUGCACCACUUUGCAAGCUUGUGCUAGUCACCACACACAUCACAAAAAUACAUGGGUUGCACCUCUGGAUAGAUGGCAAAGCAUAUAACAAAACACAUGUAGAGCUCAGGGGCAUAUCAUGCACACAAUAAUCAUGGCAAAAAUGACAAAUAUCUAAUUGGAGCAGCAGAUCUGACAAUUAUCUCAAAUAGCAUUCUUCCAACAGCAUUUAGGGCAUCAAGAUGAACUCAAAUGAAAAUAAUGCAAUGAUAUGAAAUGAUGUGCUCUCUGAGACGAACAUUUUGAUAUGCUAUAUGCCCAAAACGGAGCUACGGAUGCGGAGUUACGGCACGACAAACAUAGCAAAAUAAUUAGGGUUUAGGGGCAAAAAGUCAACCGAGAAAACUCAGAUCUGAGAUUUGCACACUUCCCGAGGUUCGUCCUCAAGCUCGCCGGAGAUGGAGCUUGAGCUCGUCGGAGAGAGGCCGGCGGGGGAGGAGGAAGCGCGGGGCGGCGCCGGAGUUGGAGUAGAACGACGGCGGGGCGCGGCUCCGCGACGAGCCGGCAUGGAGGCGCGGCGUGGAGGGCCACCGGCGGGCGGCGAGGUGGGGUGGCGCGGCAGAGCGGCGGCCGCCGGCGAGGAGGCGCGGUGGCGCCGGGUGGAGGAGCCUACCGGCUCNNNNNNNNNNNNNNNNNNNNNNNNNNNNNNNNNNNNNNNNNNNNNNNNNNNNNNNNNNNNNNNNNNNNNNNNNNNNNNNNNNNNNNNNNNNNNNNNNNNNNNNNNNNNNNNNNNNNNNNNNNNNNNNNNNNNNNNNNNNNNNNNNNNNNNNNNNNNNNNNNNNNNNNNNNNNNNNNNNNNNNNNNNNNNNNNNNNNNNNNNNNNNNNNNNNNNNNNNNNNNNNNNNNNNNNNNNNNNNNNNNNNNNNNNNNNNNNNNNNNNNNNNNNNNNNNNNNNNNNNNNNNNNNNNNNNNNNNNNNNNNNNNNNNNNNNNNNNNNNNNNNNNNNNCUACCGGCUCGGGCGGGGAAGAGGCAGGCUCGGGCGGCGCGGAGGGAACGGGCUCGGGGGCCCGCGGCGGGCCGAGCAGGCCGGCGGCGGGGGAUCUCCCGGCGCGACACGUGGUGCGCUGUCACUGGCCGGGCGCGGCGGCGGGAAACGUCCGGCCAGGGACAUACAUGUCCGGCGCGGCGCGAUGCGAUUUUUAGGGUUUCGGGGGGAAGAAGAAACGUGGAUCUUGGAGGGGGUCUUUAAAUAGGCAUAGAGGAAGCUAAGAGAGUCCAAAUGAGGUGCUGUUUUCGGCCACACGAUCGUGAUCGAACGCUGUAGAUGAUGGAGAGGGUUUUGGUGGGUUUUGGGCCAAAUUGGAGGGGUGUUGGGAUGCAACACACACAGGGCCUUUUCGGUCCCUCGGUUAACCGUUGGAGCAUCAAACGAAGUCCAAAUGGUACGAAACUUGACUGGCGGUCUACCGGUAGUAAACCAAGGCCGCUUGGCAAAUCUCGGUCCAAUCUGGAAAUGUUUUACCCCCACACACAAAAGAAAGGUAGAAAUGACCACCGAAGGAGAACGGAGCGCCGGAAUGCAAAACGGACAACGGGGAAAAUGCUCGGAUGCAUGAGAUGAACACAUAUGCAAAUGCAAUGCACAUGAUGACAUGCUAUGAGAUGCAUGACAACGAUAACACACACGGAGACAAAACCCGAACCCGAGAAAAUAAAAUAACUUAAUGCCGGAAACGGCAAGAGUUGGAUUACAUAUUGGGUAAAUCAUAUCCGGGGUGUUACAACACUCCACCACUACGAAAGGAUCUCGUCCCGAGAUCUAGGACUGAAAGAACGCCGGGUACUCAGAACGGAGGUGAUCCUCAUGUUCCCAGGUGGCUUCCCGGUCGGAAUGGUGUGACCACUUGACUUUGAGGAAUUUGAUUGACUUGUUGCGAGUCUUGCGUUCAGUCUCUUCAAGAAUAGCAACGGGGUGCUCACGAUAAGAGAGAUCUUCUUGGAGCUCAAUGUCUUCGAAGUUGACGGUGCGGUCAGGAGUCUUGAAGCACUUUUGGAGCUGAGAGACAUGGAACACGUCAUGCACAUUUGCAAAGUUUGAAGGAAGCUCGAGUUGAUAGGCGAGAUCACCUCUCUUGCUGACGAUCUUGAAAGGUCCCACGUAUCUGGGGGCAAGCUUCCCUUUGAUACCGAAGUGACGAGUACCUUUCAUUGGAGAGACGUGGAGGUAAACAUGAUCUCCGAUCUCGAAAGCCAAAUCAUGGUGCUUACUAUCAUAGUAGCUCUUCUGGCGGGAUUGGGCUGCUUUGAGGUUAUCUCGAAUGACUUUGCACAUUUCCUCUGCCUCUGUGAUUAAGUCAUUUCCCAAAAGUUGACGUUCACCGGUUUCAGACCAGUUGAGAGGGGUACGGCACUUCCUACCAUACAGAAUUUCAAAUGGGGCCUUGCCCGAACUUGCUUGAAAACUGUUGUUGUAGGAGAAUUCAGCAUAAGGAAGGCAAUCCUCCCACUUCAUGCCGAAGGAGAUCACACAAGCCAUGAGCAUAUCUUCAAGAAUCUGGUUGACACGCUCGACUUGACCGCUAGUUUGAGGAUGGAAAGCUGUGCUGAAGCGGAUGUUGGUGCCCAUGGCCUUCUGAAAAGAAUCCCAAAACUUGGAGGUAAAGAUGCUGCCACCGUCUGAAGAGAUCACUUGUGGAAUACCGUGCAGAGAGACAAUUCGAGAGGUAUAGAGUUCCGCCAAUUGAGCUGCAGUGAUUGACUCUUUGAUAGGCAGAAAAUGAGCCACUUUAGUGAGUUUGUUGAUUACAACGAAUAUAGCAUCAUUGCCACGCUUGGACUUUGGAAACCCAGUCACGAAGUCCAUCUCAAUGUGGUCAAACUUCCAUUCUGGAAUGGCAAGAGGUUGGAGGAGACCAGCUUGCCUUUGGUGUUCUGCCUUCACUCUUCUGCAGACAUCACAUUCAUUCAUGAACUGAGCAAUCUCGCGCUUCAUUCGAGUCCACCAAUAAGCCUGCUUGAGGUCCUGAUACAUCUUCGUGCUCCCAGGGUGGAUGGAGAGUAGAGAAUUGUGAGCCUCAUUUAUGAUCACUUUACGAAGGUCACCUUUGGGCACAACAAUACGAUCCUCGAGGAAGAGAGUAUCCUUGUCAUCAAGGCGGUAGCACUUGUACUUGGGUUGGCUCUUGGCAAUCCCAAUAUUCACCUUUUUUACCAUAGCAUCAAGAAGCUGAGCUUGGCGAAUCUGGUCUUCCAAGGUAGGAGAGACUUGAAGGUUAGCGAGGAAACCUUGAGGAACAACUUGUAGAUUAAGUUUGCGGAAAGCUUCACAAAGCUUGGGUUGAUAAGGCUUGAGAAUCAGACUGUUGCAAUAAGACUUCCUGCUCAAUGCGUCAACAAUCACAUUGGCCUUGCCUGGAGUAUACUCGAUACUCGGAUUAUACUCUUGAAUCAUUUCGACCCAUCGAGUUUGCCUGAGGUUGAGAUUAGGCUGAGUGAAGAUGUACUUGAGACUCUUGGGGUCAGUGAAAAUGUCCACUUUUCUUCCCAAUAAGAGAUGUCUCCAAGUCAAAAGAGCAUGCACAACUGCCGCCAACUCGAGGUCAUGAGUGGGGUAGUUCUUCUCGUUGGGCUUUAACUGGCGAGAGGUAUAUGCCACAACCUUCUUCUCUUGCAUCAACACUGUGCCGAGACCUUGGAGAGAGGCAUCGCAAAAGACCUCGUACGGUUUGGAUUCAUCAGGAGGAGUCAGAACUGGAGCAGUGACCAAUUUCUCUUUCAAAGUGUUGAAAGCGAUGUCACAUUCCGGAGACCAAACGUACUUGACGUGCUUCUGGAGAAGAUUUGAGAGAGGCUUCGCGAUCUUAGAAAAGUUUUCAACGAAUCUUCGACAGUAGCUUGCGAGACCGAGGAAGCUACGGAGUUGCUUCACGUUCUGAGGUGGUCCCCAAUUCAAAAUUGCAGACACCUUCUCAGGAUUCACCGCAAUGCCCUUGGCAGAGAUAAUAUGACCAAGAUAAAGAACCUCAUCGAGCCAAAAUUCGCACUUGGAGAACUUGGCGUAGAACUGGUGUUCCCUGAGCUUAUCGAGCACCAAACGCAAGUGCUUGGCAUGAUCUUCCUUGUUCUUCGAAAAGACCAAAAUGUCGUCGAGAUAGACCAAAACAAAGUCAUUGGUGUAGGCGUUGAAGAUGAAGUUCAUCAUGCGAGAGAAAGUCAGAGGAGCGUUGACGAGGCCAAAAGACAUGACAGUGUAUUCAUAUGAACCAUAGCUUGUCCUGAAAGCCGUCUUGGGAAUAUCUUGCUCACGGAUUCGAAUCUGAUGAUAACCCAUACGGAGAUCAAGCUUGGAGAAUACUUGGGCACCUUUGAGUUGUUCGAACAGCUCGUUGAUGUUGGGAAGUGGGUAUUUGUUCCUUAUAGUCUUCUUGUUCAAUGGACGGUAAUCAACACAAAGUCGGUCCGUUCCAUCCUUCUUCUUCACAAAAAGAACACCACAACCCCACGGAGAAGAACUAGGUUGGAUGAGACCCAUUCUCUCUUGAAUAUCGAGUUGCUUCUUCAGCUCCUUCAACUCUUCAGAUCCGAGCUUAUAAGGAUGCUUGCACACUGGUUCCGUGCUAGACUCAAGAUCGAUGACAAAUUCAACUGGCCGGUGCGGAGGCAUUCCUGGAAGCUCUUCUAGAAAGACGUCUUGAUAUUUGCAAACGAAUGGAAUUUGCGAGAUGGCAUCCAGUUCACCCUUCUCAUUGAGAGAAAACAGGUGGAUGGUAUCAUCACGAGCAACAAAGACAAUUACAUCCUCAGACGAAUGAGUCAAUUGAAUCUGCCUGGCUGCACAAUCAAGAUGCGCCUUGUGCUUAGAAAGCCAAUCCAUUCUGAGAAUAAGAUCAAUAUCCGAGUCACCAAGGAUAAUAGGAGAAGCUAGAAAUUUGUACUCACCCAACGUGAUAGUAAUAUCCGAGACGCAGAAAUUAGCUGUCAUAUGCUUGCCCGGUGACACGAUUUGCAAAGAAUUUUGUAGAUAGUGAUAAUCGCACUCAUACUUUGAUGCAAAAGGUUUGGAAAUGAAACAAUGCGAUGCACUAGUGUCAAAAAGAACUUUUGCAGGAACAUUGUUAACAGGAAGGUUACCCAUGAUGACAUCUGACGAGUCCUCUGCCUGAGCUGCAUUCAUCAAGUUGACCUUGGCGUGCUUGGGGUUAUGCUUGACCACAACUGUACUUGCCGAUCUCACAGGAGGAGGAGGAGGGAGACGCCUCUGGUUGAAGCACUUGUUGGCAUAGUGACCCUUCUGUUGGCACUUGUUGCACGUGACCUCUGAAAGCGGAUGGUGAUAUGGAGCACUCGAUCUUGGGGCUUGAGACGAAGUCUCGUUCUGAAAGCCAAGGUUGGGUGGGUGGGAAGAUCCACUGCCACCUUUGCUCUUCUGAUACGGCUGACGGAACGGAGGAGGAGGAAGCCAAUACUUCUGCUGCUUGGCCACUUGAGUAGAGGAAGGAGGAGUAGCAUCUCUGACUCGCUUCUUGGAAGCAUCACACCUCAGUUGAAUAGCCUCUUGCUUCAAUGCCAUGUUGUAGAACUCAUCGUACCUCAAGGGCUCAAAGAGAACAAGAGCUAGCUGGAUUUCUUCUCUGAGACCACCCCUGAACUGGUAUAUCAUGCUCUUCUCGUCAGGGACGUCCUGCUUAGCAAAGCGGGCGAGCUUCUGAAACAACUUGUUGUAGUCAUAGACAGACAAAGAGCCUUGCUUCAGGUUGCGGAAUUCCUCACGCUUGCUUUCAACCACGCUUUGAGGAAUAUGAUGAGCUUUGAAGUCUUGACGGAAUUCAUCCCAGGUAAUCACACGGCCUCCUCUGGAAUCUUUGUACUGCUGGAACCAUUCUGCAGCUUGGUCUUUGAGUUGGAAGGAAGCGAACUUGACAAAGUCCUCAGGUCUGACGUUACUGCACUCGAAAUGCUUGCACAAGUCCACAAGCCAAUCGUCAGCAUCAGUUGCCUCAACACAAUUGCUGAAAGACUUUGGCCCGUUAGCAAGGAACUGGUUGAGUGUAGCAAAGUGGUUCUGAUUGUUGCCUUGGUUGCCUUGGUUCGCUUGGUUGCGCUCUUGAAGAAUUUGCAUGAUCAACUGUGUGUUUGCAUUGGUUGCGGCCAUCACAGCUUGCCAUGCCUCCGGAGGAGGUGGAGGUGGUGGCGGAUCCUGAUUCUGAUUCUGAUUUUGAUUGCUGCUCUUAGCGGGAGCCAUACUGAAGAGGGUGACAACCGUUAGCACAUUGACAGAUAAAAUGAAGCUGAAUCAAACGGGUUGAAAUUGCAACAUAUAGUCUUCACAUCCGAACAAAAUGAACGAAUGCAUUCCACUUGGAAUGGUCACAUAUCCAUAAAUUGAGAAGCCACUUAGAAUUUAGAUAGAGGAAUAAAUCAACAAGGUACAGAUCAAGAACGAAUACUCGGUAAGAAAUCCCAAUCUCAAACCAAAUAUCCGUGGAAGAAGAACUAAAGCUACAAGAAUUCCCACCUAUGAAACUCCCGAACCUUUCCGGUUAUGCAAUCAGGUGUUGGGGAUACAGGGGAAGCAUAAUAUCUCACCCAAAACUAGCAAAUCCUACAUCCAGCUGUAUCCAUCCUUCAACACAUAACCGAGAAAAACUUCGGAAACCAUCUACCUCAACCUUCGAAAAGCAUCUGUUAUACAAGUUAUGGCAAUACUCCCGAACUCCCGCCCCAGUACUGGGUGGCGUCGAGGUUAUCUCACCAACGAACUGCAUAAAAGAGAUUUUCGAUGUCGACGUACUAAACUCAGGUAUUCCAGAACUACAAUGAUAAAAUUGUGACGACAACACCUUGGAGCUCAACUCCCCGGGACACUGCCACAACCCCAUAAAGACAGGAGGCACCAAGAACAAUGUUCCCGUCACAAAACCAUCGAAACGAUUCCAAGAUACCCGCGUGAUCCUAAAUUUCUUUUAGUGAAAUUUGAGAAGAGAAGAGUCAAAACUCUAUGUCAGGAUGCCUUACCAGAGCGAUGAGGAGACUGGGGAGUAAAAAGAAUUCCUAAACUCUCCGAUAUAUAAUUCCUAAAUGACUCAAAACAUUUUUCUAGACUCAACAACGGCUGCUAAAACGAUCAAGCAAUGGGGGCUCCUAAGGUUGGGGAAGGCUCUGAUUACCAACUUGUAACGCCCUCGAUGCGGCUAUAUCUCAUACAUGUCGAGGCACGAUUUAGAGGCAUAACCGCAUUGAAAGCAAUGUCGCAAGUUAGGCAAUCUUCACAACAUCCCAUGUAAUAUAUAGAUAAUAAAAGGGGAGAAUACAUAGUUGGCUUACACUCGCCACGUCAAUCAAAGUACAUAAAUAGCAUUACAUCAACCAAACACUCAUGGCCCGACUACGGCGCCCAAAUAAAAGACCAACCCAACAUGCGACACGGUCCAGAUCGCCCCAACUGGGCACCACUACUGAUCAUCAGGGAAAGACACAUAGUAUCGGCGUGAGUCCUCGUCGAACUCCCACUUGAGCUCAAGCGCGUCAUCUGGAACAGAGUCAUCAGGCCCUGCAUCUGGUUUGGAAGUAAUCUGUGAGCCACAGGGACUCAACAAUCUCGCACCCUCGCGAUAAAGACUAUUUAAGCUUAUAGGUAAGGCAAGGUAAAUAUGUGGAGCUGCAGCAAGCGACUAGCAUAUAUGGUGGCUAACCUGUUCGCAAAAGAGAGCGAGAAGAGAAGGCAAAGCACGAACAAAUAACUAGAGAAUAACCUGCGGCAAGCAUUACUCCAACACCGUGUUCACUUCCCGGACUCCGCCGAGAAGAGACCAUCACAGUAACCCACACAGUUGAUUCAUUUUAAUUAAGUUAAGGUUCAAGUUAUCUACAACCGGACAUUAACAAAUUCCCAUCUGCCUAUAACCGCGGGCAUGGCUUUCGAAAGUUCAAAACCCUGCAGGGUAGUCCCAACUUAGCCCAUGACAAGCUCUCACGGUCAACGAAGGAAUAGACCUUCUCCCGAGACAUUCCGAUCAGACUCGGUAUCCCGGUUCUACAAGACACUUCGACAAGUUAAAACAAAUCCAGCAACACCACCCGAAUGUGCCGACAAAUCCCGAUAGGAGUUGCACAUAUCUCGUUCUCAGGGCACACUCAGAUAAGCUCUCCAUACAACUAAAACCAAACCUCGAGUUUCCCCGAUGGGGCACUGCACAGAACUCUAGUUCGGACCAACACUCAGAGGAGCACUGGCCCGGGGGGGGGGGUUAAAUAAGAUGACCCUCGGGCUUCGAAAACCCAAGGGAAAAAGAGGCUAGGUGGCAAAUGGUAAAACCAAGGUUGGGCAUUGCUGGAAAAGCUUUAAUCAAGGCGAACUAUCAAGGGGUUCCCAUUAUCACCCAACCGCGUAAGGAACGCAAAUUCCGGGAACAUAACACCGAUAUGACGGAAACUAGGGCGGCAAGAGUGGAACAAAACACUAGGCGAGAGGCCGAGCCUUCCACCCUUUACCAAGUAUAUAGAUGCAUUAAGAUAACAAGGCAAUAUAAUGAUAUCCCAACAAGUAAAUAAUGUUCCAACAAGGAACGGUCUCCAAUCUUCACCUGCAACUAGCAACGCUAUAAGAGGGGCUGAGCAAAGCGGUAAGAUAGCCAAUCAACGGUUUGCUAGGACAUGGUGGGUUAGAGGUUUGACAUGGCAAUUUGGGAGGCAUGAUAAGCAAGUGGUAGGCAUCGUAGCAUAGGCAUAGCAAAAGAGCGAGCAUCUAGCAAAGCAAAGAUAGUAGUGAUUUCGAGGGUAUGAUCAUCUUGCCUGCACAGUUGUCAGAGUUGACUGGAUCCUCGAAAGCAAACUCAACGGGCUCCUCGUUAGCGAACUCGUCUCCCGGCUCUACCAAAACAAGACAAACAAGCAAACGGAACAAAAUCAACCACGUGCAAACUCAAACAACAUGAUGCAAACAUAGUAUGCUAUGCGGGAUGCGACAUGUGAUGCAUAUGCAAAAUUUGACAAGGAAUGAAUGAACCUGGCCUCAACUUGGAAUUCCAAGUGUGCCACUGGAAAGGUGAGAUGAAAUCGCUUGAAAACGAUAUAAAGAACGCUGGAAUCAGAGUCACGGUCUGAAAAUGGCAAGCAAUUUAAAUAUGGCACCGGUCUGCGAUAUACAGCAAGUAGACACCUAAAUCCAACAAGAUGAACAUGCUACAGCACCCAAACAUGGCAGGGAUCCAUUCAUGAUGCUUAACAAAAGAUGAACACUGAGCUACGGCCAAUUCAUCCAUUAACAGGUUCAAACAAGCAUGGCAAAAAUGCAUUUGGUAAACAGAUUUCAGACAUAGUGAAAUUAACACUUGUCUGGAUUUUCAGAUCAGGUAGCACACUUUGGAGCAUGAAAACUAUAUGCUACAGGACCUGAACAUGGCAAAAUAAAGCAUGGCAUGGAGCUACUCAACGAACUUAACAAAAGUCCCUUAGUGACCUUGAGCCAAAAGGGAUCCUAAACUACAUUUGCAAGCAUGUGAACAUGGCAAAAACAUAAUCAGAUCACAGACUUAGUGAAAAACUAGAGCAUGCAAAUCAGAUAUCAAGUAGGCAUGUUUAUGAGCUCGAUGCACUCACUACAGAGCAAGUCAUGACAAUCUAAGCAUACACCCAUCAAGAAUACACAUUAUACAAGCUAGACAUGGCAAUAACAAUAACAUAGCAUGCACAGAUCAACUACAACAUUCUCGGCAAAAUCGCUAACAAGUAGACAAUCUGCCCAGAUUCACGAAAUAGCAAAAGUAGAGCUUGAUUGACUUAAGCUAGGAUGCUCCAUAAUUGCAAACAAAGACAUGGAUGGAUAGAGCACUACAAGAUUAACAAAUCACCCUUACUGAUCAUCCUCAAAAGAGGCACGGAUCACUAGGAAACAACAUGAACAUGUGGCAUAAUGAAAUAAACAGAUCAAGGACUUAGUGGGAUUGCUAAGUCCCUGAAAUCAGCAUUAACGAAUGCACCACUUUGCAAGCUUGUGCUAGUCACCACAAACAUCACAAAAAUACAUGGGUUGCACCUCUGGAUAGAUGGCAAAGCAUAUAACAAAACACAUGUAGAGCUCAGGGGCAUAUCAUGCACACGAUAAUCAUGGCAAAAAUGACAAAUAUCUAAUUGGAACAGCAGAUCUGACAAUUAUCUCAAAUAGCAUUCUUCCAACAGCAUUUCGGGCAUCAAGAUGAACUCAAAUGAAAAUAAUGCAAUGAGAUGAAAUGAUGUGCUCUCUGAGACAAACAUUUUGAUAUGCUAUAUGCCCAAAACGGAGCUACGGAUGCGGAGUUACGGCAAGACGAACAUAGCAAAAUAAUUAGGGUUUCGGGGCAAAAAGGCAAUCGAGAAAACUCAGGUCUGAGAUUUGCACGCUUCCCGAGGUUCGUCCUCAAGCUCGCCGGAGAUGGAGCUUGAGCUCGUCAAAGAGAGGUCGGCGGGGGAGGAGGAAGCGCGGGGCGGCGCCGGAGUUGGAGUAGAACGGCGGCGGGGCGCGGCUCCGCGGCGAGCCGGCGUGGAGGCGCGGCGCGGAGGGCCACCGGCGGGCGGCGAGGNNNNNNNNNNNNNNNNNNNNNNNNNNNNNNNNNNNNNNNNNNNNNNNNNNNNNNNNNNNNNNNNNNNNNNNNNNNNNNNNNNNNNNNNNNNNNNNNNNNNNNNNNNNNNNNNNNNNNNNNNNNNNNNNNNNNNNNNNNNNNNNNNNNNNNNNNNNNNNNNNNNNNNNNNNNNNNNNNNNNNNNNNNNNNNNNNNNNNNNNNNNNNNNNNNNNNNNNNNNNNNNNNNNNNNNNNNNNNNNNNNNNNNNNNNNNNNNNNNNNNNNNNNNNNNNNNNNNNNNNNNNNNNNNNNNNNNNNNNNNNNNNNNNNNNNNNNNNNNNNNNNNNNNNNNNNNNNNNNNNNNNNNNNNNNNNNNNNNNNNNNNNCCUGCCGGCUCGGGCGGCGCGGAGGGAACGGGCUCGGGGGCCCAUGGCGGGCCGAGCGGGCCGGCGGCGGGGGACCUCCCGGUGCGACACGUGGCGCGCUGUCACUGGCCGGGCGCGGCGGCGGGAAACGUCUGUCCAGGGACGGACAUGUCCGGCGCGGCGCGAUGCGAUUUUUAGGGUUUCGGGGGGAAGAAGAAACGUGGAUCUCGGAGGGGUCUUUAAAUAGGCAUAGAGGGAGCUAGGGGAGUCCAAAUGAGGUGCGGUUUUCGGCCACGUGAUCGGGAUCGAACGCUCUAGAUGAUGGAGAGGGUUUUGGGCCAAAUUGGAGGGGUGUUGGGCUGCAACACACACGAGGCCUUUUCGGUCCCUCGGUUUACCGUUGGAGCAUCAAACGAAGUCCAAAUGGUACGAAACUUGAUAGGCGGUCUAUGGUAGUAAACCAAGGCCGCUUGGCAAUUCUCGGUCCAAUCCGGAAAUGUUUAAUCCUCACACACGAAAGAAAGAUAGAAAUGACCACCGGAGGAGAAAGGAGCGCCAGAAUGCAAAACGGACAACGGGGAAAAUGCUCGGAUGCAUGAGAUGAACACGUAUGCAAAUGCAAUGCACAUGAUGACAUGCUAUGAGAUGCAUGACAACGAUAACACAAACGGAGACAAAACCCGAACCCGAGAAAAUAAAAUAACUUAACGCUGGAAACGGCAAGAGUUGGAUUACAUAUUGGGUAAAUCAUAUCCGGGGUGUUACACCUUUGCCUUGUUUGUCUACCCCUUCCUCCUCCCCAGCAAGCGUGAAACCUCUCAUAAUAGGUCUGUCAAUCUGCAUCCUUAUCUUCACCCUCAAAAAUCUACCGGUUGCAACUCCAUCCGCACCCGUGUCCGCCUCCACAAACACUCCAAUGAUAUUACCGAUGUCCUCUGCUGAUUCCACGUUCAUCAUGCCAAGAGGAAGGUUAUAAACCCUAACCCAAAUUGGGAUAUUGUUAUGGGCAUAAUCUUCUGGCCUCUUGCUCGGUACAUAGUCCUCCACCACCACAACUUCUUUAUCAAACAUCCAUGGUCCAUCUUCGAUCGCCUUCCGCUUACCAGACUCUUGAUGAAAAGUGAUGAGGAACUGAUUUACUCCGAUCUCCUUACACUUGAUCCCCUUAAUCGGGCACCAAACCCUGCCUAGUGAGAGGCAGAUCGCGUCUGGGUGCGCUAACUUUUCGGAGAUGACCUUGCCUACUGCCUGCAGCAUCGACGCCUUGCCAUUCUCCCUGGAUACCAGCCGCACCUUGACGCCCUUCCUCUCCUCCUCAGAAAGUUUCAGACCCUUCAUUAACCCCGCAACACCAUCUACUGCCAUGGCUGCACUCCCCUGACCGCCCCCAACCCCUCCUAGGAAGUAGGUGUUUUACGACUGCGCGCCCUAGGGAAGCGCACAGAAGGAUUUGGUGGAUGGCUUGAGGAAUUAGAGUGCUCGAAGGUUCCCUGGACGAAGAACCAGACGACGGCGGCGGAAUGAAAGGAACCCUAGGCACCGAAUGGAAUCGCCCUCGGGAUCGCCUCCAUAAACUAUGGAAAGGACACCAACCGUCACCCUAACGGGACGGACUUCUCUCUCCUCUGUUCUGGUUGCGAGGAGAAGGGAACAGGCGCUGCCGCAGGAAGGACAUACUGGCACGGGUCAAAGUGGACGGAAAAAAGCACGAAUCUCGUGACAGAGAUCGGACGCUCGAAAAAACGGAUGAAGUCCAAUUAAUUUCAUUCGGAUGAAAAAUAGCAAUUUCGUUGAUCAAACAGACCUGAAUUUAAGCCGCUCCUAUGUCGCUCGUAGGGCGACACCGGGGUGUCCGAACCCUAGCCGCCCAG
This 24206-nucleotide long non-coding RNA is filed under the name Triticum aestivum (bread wheat). RNAcentral's name for it is "long non-coding RNA (TAES_LNC014490)". The record is from RNAcentral. Lineage: Eukaryota; Viridiplantae; Streptophyta; Magnoliopsida; Poales; Poaceae.